RNAcentral lists this ribosomal RNA (119 nucleotides) under Pteropus alecto (black flying fox). The record is from RNAcentral. Lineage: Eukaryota; Metazoa; Chordata; Mammalia; Chiroptera; Pteropodidae.
GUUUAUGGCCAUGCCACCCUGAACACGCCCGAUCCUAUCUGAUCUCAGAAGCUAAGCAGGGUUGGACCUGGUUGGUACUCGGAUGGGAGAUCACCUAAGAAUACCAGGUGCUGUAGGUG